Molecule: ribosomal RNA, 114 nt
Filed under: uncultured bacterium
Lineage: Bacteria
Description: partial 16S ribosomal RNA
Rfam family: Bacterial small subunit ribosomal RNA
Source: RNAcentral
CGGUGAAUACGUUCCCGGACCUUGCACACACCGCCCGUCAAGCCAUGGAAGCUGGGUGUACCUAAAGUCGGUAACCGUAAGAAGCCGCCUAGGGUAAAACUAGUGACUGGGGCU